UUGAUUUAUUUAAUCGUGUUACUCAGAAGAUACUGUAUAAAACAAGAGUUUGGGGGUCCUCUGGCGGGCCGCCGGAGCGGGCACCGCCGAGGCAACGAUAGGUAUGUUCACAGGGGUUUGGGAGUUGUAAACUCGGUAAUGAUCCCUCCGCUGGUUCACCAACGGAGA
This 168-nucleotide unclassified non-coding RNA is filed under the name uncultured fungus. Its description in RNAcentral is "sequence contains ITS1". Lineage: Eukaryota; Fungi. The record is from RNAcentral.